GGACCUGUGCCUGAAGAUUAAGGGCCACUUUGAUAGAGUGUAUCACGGAGGUUAAAGUCCUCCCAGGUCCU
This 71-nucleotide transfer RNA is filed under the name Phyllopteryx dewysea (ruby seadragon). Its description in RNAcentral is "tRNA-Ile". It matches the Rfam family "tRNA". From Rfam's summary of the family: Transfer RNA (tRNA) molecules are approximately 80 nucleotides in length. Their secondary structure includes four short double-helical elements and three loops (D, anti-codon, and T loops). The record is from RNAcentral. Lineage: Eukaryota; Metazoa; Chordata; Actinopteri; Syngnathiformes; Syngnathidae.